This 373-nucleotide ribosomal RNA is filed under the name uncultured organism. RNAcentral describes it as "partial 16S ribosomal RNA". It matches the Rfam family "Bacterial small subunit ribosomal RNA", at positions 527 to 896 of the family's 1533-position model. The record is from RNAcentral.
GUAGGUGGCAAGCGUUGUCCGGAAUUAUUGGGGGUAAAGCGCGCGCAGGCGGUUCUUUAAGUCUGAUGUGAAAGCCCACGGCUCAACCGUGGAGGGUCAUUGGAAACUGGAGAACUUGAGUACAGAAGAGGAAAGCGGAAUUCCACGUGUAGCGGUGAAAUGCGUAGAGAUGUGGAGGAACACCAGUGGCGAAGGCGGCUUUCUGGUCUGUAACUGACGCUGAGGCGCGAAAGCGUGGGGAGCAAACAGGAUUAGAUACCCUGGUAGUCCACGCCGUAAACGAUGAGUGCUAAGUGUUAGGGGGUUUCCCGCCCCCCUUAGUGCUGCAGCUAACGCAUUAAGCACUCCGCCUGGGGAUACGGCCGCAAGGCUG